RNAcentral lists this ribosomal RNA (292 nucleotides) under uncultured bacterium. RNAcentral's name for it is "partial 16S ribosomal RNA". It matches the Rfam family "Bacterial small subunit ribosomal RNA", at positions 505 to 796 of the family's 1533-position model. The record is from RNAcentral.
GUGCCAGCCGCCGCGGUAAUACGUAGGGUGCAGGCGUUAAUCGGAAUUACUGGGCGUAAAGCGUGCGCAGGCGGUUUCUUAAGUCAGAUGUGAAAGCCCCGGGCUUAACCUGGGAACUGCGUUUGAAACUGGGAGACUUGAGUGUGGCAGAGGGGGGUGGAAUUCCACGUGUAGCAGUGAAAUGCGUAGAUAUGUGGAGGAACACCGAUGGCGAAGGCAGCCCCCUGGGUUAACACUGACGCUCAUGCACGAAAGCGUGGGGAGCAAACAGGAUUAGAAACCCCCGUAGUCC